Molecule: small nuclear RNA, 21 nt
Filed under: Arabidopsis thaliana (thale cress)
Lineage: Eukaryota; Viridiplantae; Streptophyta; Magnoliopsida; Brassicales; Brassicaceae
Description: snRNA_03680
Source: RNAcentral
CCUCUCAGACAAAUGCCUCGU